AUGACGAGUGGCGGACGGGUGAGUAAUGCUUGGGAACUUGCCUUUGCGAGGGGGAUAACAGUUGGAAACGACUGCUAAUACCGCAUAAUGUCUUCGGACCAAACGGGGCUUCGGCUCCGGCGCAAAGAGAGGCCCAAGUGAGAUUAGCUAGUUGGUAAGGUAACGGCUUACCAAGGCGACGAUCUCUAGCUGUUCUGAGAGGAAGAUCAGCCACACUGGGACUGAGACACGGCCCAGACUCCUACGGGAGGCAGCAGUGGGGAAUAUUGCACAAUGGGGGAAACCCUGAUGCAGCCAUGCCGCGUGUGUGAAGAAGGCCUUCGGGUUGUAAAGCACUUUCAGUUGUGAGGAAAAGUUAGUAGUUAAUACCUGCUAGCCGUGACGUUAACAACAGAAGAAGCACCGGCUAACUCCGUGCCAGCAGCCGCGGUAAUACGGAGGGUGCGAGCGUUAAUCGGAAUUACUGGGCGUAAAGCGCACGCAGGCGGUUUGUUAAGCUAGAUGUGAAAGCCCCGGGCUCAACCUGGGAUGGUCAUUUAGAACUGGCAGACUAGAGUCUUGGAGAGGGGAGUGGAAUUCCAGGUGUAGCGGUGAAAUGCGUAGAUAUCUGGAGGAACAUCAGUGGCGAAAGGCGACUCCCUGGCCAAAGACUGACGCUCAUGUGCGAAAGUGUGGGUAGCGAACAGGAUUAGAUACCCUGGUAGUCCACACCGUAAACGCUGUCUACUAGCUGUGUGUGCCUUUAAGCGUGCGUAGCGAAGCUAACGCGCUAAGUAGACCGCCUGGG
This 787-nucleotide ribosomal RNA is filed under the name Alteromonas macleodii. RNAcentral's name for it is "bacterial SSU rRNA". It matches the Rfam family "Bacterial small subunit ribosomal RNA", at positions 88 to 877 of the family's 1533-position model. Lineage: Bacteria; Pseudomonadati; Pseudomonadota; Gammaproteobacteria; Alteromonadales; Alteromonadaceae. The record is from RNAcentral.